AGAGUUUGAUCAUGGCUCAGGACGAACGCUGGCGGCGUGCCUAACACAUGCAAGUCGAACGCGCUCCAUUCGGUAGCAAUACUGAUGAAGAGCGAGUGGCGAACGGGUGAGUAGCACGUGAGCAACCUGCCCCGAAGACUGGGACAACACCGGGAAACCGGUGCUAAUACCGGAUAUCCCUGUCGGACCGCAUGGUCCAACAAGGAAAUGUUUUUUCGCUUCGGGAGGGGCUCGCGGCCUAUCAGCUUGUUGGUGGGGUAACGGCCUACCAAGGCAUCGACGGGUAGCUGGUCUGAGAGGACGAUCAGCCACACUGGGACUGAGACACGGCCCAGACUCCUACGGGAGGCAGCAGUGGGGAAUCUUGCGCAAUGGGCGAAAGCCUGACGCAGCAACGCCGCGUGGAGGACGAAGGCUUUCUGAGUUGUAAACUCCUUUCAGCAGGGACGAUUGUGACGGUACCUGCAGAAGAAGCACCGGCCAACUACGUGCCAGCAGCCGCGGUGAUACGUAGGGUGCAAGCGUUGUCCGGAUUUAUUGGGCGUAAAGAGCUCGUAGGCGGUUUGAUAAGUCGGGUGUGAAACCUCCAGGCUCAACCUGGAGCCGCCACUCGAUACUGUCAUGACUUGAAUUCGGUAGGGGACCACGGAAUUCCUGGUGUAGCGGUGAAAUGCGCAGAUAUCAGGAGGAACACCAGCAGCGAAGGCGGUGGUCUGGGCCGACAUUGACGCUGAGGAGCGAAAGCGUGGGGAGCGAACAGGAUUAGAUACCCCAGUAGUCC
This 781-nucleotide ribosomal RNA is filed under the name uncultured bacterium. RNAcentral's name for it is "bacterial SSU rRNA". It matches the Rfam family "Bacterial small subunit ribosomal RNA", at positions 8 to 796 of the family's 1533-position model. The record is from RNAcentral.